Molecule: ribosomal RNA, 253 nt
Filed under: uncultured bacterium
Lineage: Bacteria
Description: partial 16S ribosomal RNA
Rfam family: Bacterial small subunit ribosomal RNA
Source: RNAcentral
UACGUAGGGUGCGAGCGUUAAUCGGAAUUACUGGGCGUAAAGCGUGCGCAGGCGGUUUUGUAAGUCAGAUGUGAAAUCCCCGGGCUUAACCUGGGAACUGCGUUUGAAACUACAAGGCUAGAGUGUAGCAGAGGGGGGUGGAAUUCCACGUGUAGCAGUGAAAUGCGUAGAGAUGUGGAGGAACACCGAUGGCGAAGGCAAUCCCCUGGGCCUGCACUGACGCUCAUGCACGAAAGCGUGGGGAGCAAACAGG